RNAcentral lists this ribosomal RNA (726 nucleotides) under uncultured bacterium. Its description in RNAcentral is "bacterial SSU rRNA". It matches the Rfam family "Bacterial small subunit ribosomal RNA", at positions 8 to 778 of the family's 1533-position model. The record is from RNAcentral.
AGAGUUUGAUCAUGGCUCAGAGCGAACGCUGGCGGCAGGCUUAACACAUGCAAGUCGAGCGGGCGUAGCAAUACGUCAGCGGCAGACGGGUGAGUAACGCGUGGGAACGUACCUUUUGGUUCGGAACAACACAGGGAAACUUGUGCUAAUACCGGAUAAGCCCUUACGGGGAAAGAUUUAUCGCCGAAAGAUCGGCCCGCGUCUGAUUAGCUAGUUGGUGAGGUAACGGCUCACCAAGGCGACGAUCAGUAGCUGGUCUGAGAGGAUGAUCAGCCACAUUGGGACUGAGACACGGCCCAAACUCCUACGGGAGGCAGCAGUGGGGAAUAUUGGACAAUGGGCGCAAGCCUGAUCCAGCCAUGCCGCGUGAGUGAUGAAGGCCCUAGGGUUGUAAAGCUCUUUUGUGCGGGAAGAUAAUGACGGUACCGCAAGAAUAAGCCCCGGCUAACUUCGUGCCAGCAGCCGCGGUAAUACGAAGGGGGCUAGCGUUGCUCGGAAUCACUGGGCGUAAAGGGUGCGUAGGCGGGUCUUUAAGUCAGGGGUGAAAUCCUGGAGCUCAACUCCAGAACUGCCUUUGAUACUGAGGAUCUUGAGUUCGGGAGAGGUGGGUGGAACUGCGAGUGUGGAGGUGAAAUUCGUAGAUAUUCGCAAGAACACCAGUGGCGAAGGCGGCUCACUGGCCCGAUACUGACGCUGAGGCACGAAAGCGUGGGGAGCAAACAGGAU